GACGAACCGUGCGAACGUUAUUCGGAAUCACUGGGCUUAAAGCGCGUGUAGGCGGGAGGGCACGUCCGUCGCUGAAAUCCCCCGGCUCAACCGGGGAACGGGCGCGGAUACGGCCUUCCUCGAGGGGCGUAGGGGGACCUGGAACUUCCGGUGGAGCGGUGAAAUGCGUAGAUAUCAGGAGGAACACCUGCGGUGUAGACGGCUUACUGGACCGUAACUGACGCUGAGGCACGAAAGCGUGGGUAGCAAACAGG
This 254-nucleotide ribosomal RNA is filed under the name uncultured bacterium. RNAcentral's name for it is "partial 16S ribosomal RNA". It matches the Rfam family "Bacterial small subunit ribosomal RNA", at positions 524 to 776 of the family's 1533-position model. The record is from RNAcentral.